RNAcentral lists this long non-coding RNA (238 nucleotides) under Bos indicus x Bos taurus (hybrid cattle). RNAcentral's name for it is "lncRNA (ENSBIXG00000014695.1)". Lineage: Eukaryota; Metazoa; Chordata; Mammalia; Artiodactyla; Bovidae. The record is from RNAcentral.
UCAGCUGCGAUGUUACUUGGUGCAGAUGAAGAUGAGCUGGGCUCCAGAGCAAGGAUUCAUCAAGUCAUUCAAACUCAGGUCCUUGUUCCAGUUCUGUGAUUAAGUGGCAUGAUUACCAGCUGAUGCCAGCAAGCUGAGUGUCUGUAGGUAAGCUCUGCAUCUCCUGUCACCAUUCUAAUAUGGGGGAGAGGGACCUGAGUUGUUGAGAGAUAGAGUUAGCAUGUGGGAAUCACCUGGU